This 253-nucleotide ribosomal RNA is filed under the name uncultured bacterium. RNAcentral describes it as "partial 16S ribosomal RNA". It matches the Rfam family "Bacterial small subunit ribosomal RNA", at positions 524 to 776 of the family's 1533-position model. The record is from RNAcentral.
UACGGAGGGGGCUAGCGUUGUUCGGAAUUACUGGGCGUAAAGCGCGCGUAGGCGGACCUGCAAGUCGGGGGUGAAAGCCCGAGGCUCAACCUCGGAACUGCCUUCGAUACUGCGGGUCUCGAGUCCGGGAGAGGUGAGUGGAAUUCCUAGUGUAGAGGUGAAAUUCGUAGAUAUUAGGAAGAACACCAGUGGCGAAGGCGGCUCUCUGGCCCGGUACUGACGCUGAGGCGCGAAAGCGUGGGGAGCAAACAGG